AUUGAACGCUGGCGGCAGGCCUAACACAUGCAAGUCGAACGGAAGAAGGGAGAUUGUUGCUGGUUUCAGGGGGGGACGGGGGAGGUAUGCCUAGGAAUCGGCACCGUAGUGGGGGAGAUGGAUAGGGAAUGGGCGCGAUUACCGCUUACGCAUAGAGGGGCAACGUGGGGGAGGUUGGGACUUGUCGCUCUUGGAUGCGGCUAGGUCGGAUUAGCUAGUUGUUGGGGUAAAGGUCUACUCAGGCGACGAUCCGUAUCUGGUCUGAGAGGAGGAUCAGCCACACUGGAACUGAGACACGGUCCAGACGCCUACGGGAGGCAGCAGUGGGGAAUAUUGGACAAUGGGCGGAAGCCUGAUCCAGCCAUGCCGCGUGUGUGAAGAAGGUCUUCGGAUUGUAAAGCACUUUAAGGGGGGAGGAAGGGCAUUAAGUUAAUACCUUGCUUUAGUGACGUUACCAGCAGAAGAAGCACCGGCUAACUUCGUG
This 484-nucleotide ribosomal RNA is filed under the name uncultured bacterium. Its description in RNAcentral is "partial 16S ribosomal RNA". It matches the Rfam family "Bacterial small subunit ribosomal RNA", at positions 30 to 507 of the family's 1533-position model. The record is from RNAcentral.